AGUAGAUGAGAGAUAAGUGAAUGUGGACAAACCUGUCACGUAGGACGAGGUGGCCGAGUGGUUAAGGCGAUGGACUGCUAAUCCAUUGUGCUUUGCACGCGUGGGUUCGAAUCCCAUCCUCGUCGGCCCUGUUUUAUAGAGGUUGGGGGGGAAGCAUCUACAUUUUCACAUCCUGCCUAUUUGGAGCAGCAAGCUGGAGGUGCGAGGGGUGAGGCAUCUAAAUUUUCACAUCCUGCCUGUGGAGCAGCAAGCUGAAGAAAACUGAACUGGGGCCCAGAGCAAAAACACACACUGAGUACCUGGUCUCUGCCAGGAACUGUGUUAGGCACGAGGGAUGGGCCUUGGAGGAGACACAGAUUGAAGGUGGCGGGUUCCUGUAGUC
This 382-nucleotide transfer RNA is filed under the name Homo sapiens (human). RNAcentral describes it as "HSALNT0363405". The stretch from base 44 to 125 matches the Rfam family "tRNA". The record is from RNAcentral. Lineage: Eukaryota; Metazoa; Chordata; Mammalia; Primates; Hominidae.